AUAUCUUUUUUAAAUUUUUUAAACCGCUUGCUUGGAAGGCAAGUAUACUUAUUAUACUUAAAAGAC
RNAcentral lists this transfer RNA (66 nucleotides) under Pararetifusus carinatus. Its description in RNAcentral is "tRNA-Gly". Lineage: Eukaryota; Metazoa; Mollusca; Gastropoda; Neogastropoda; Fasciolariidae. The record is from RNAcentral.